GGAUGGAUUUCGAUUAUUGGUAAAUCGAGCUAAGCUGUAAACUUAGUGGUUUAACCUUUGUGAGUUCGAGUCUCACUCUAUUCA
RNAcentral lists this transfer RNA (84 nucleotides) under Groenewaldozyma salmanticensis. RNAcentral's name for it is "tRNA-Tyr". It matches the Rfam family "tRNA". From Rfam's summary of the family: Transfer RNA (tRNA) molecules are approximately 80 nucleotides in length. Their secondary structure includes four short double-helical elements and three loops (D, anti-codon, and T loops). The record is from RNAcentral. Lineage: Eukaryota; Fungi; Ascomycota; Dipodascomycetes; Dipodascales; Trichomonascaceae.